AUAGUCUAUAUUUUGGAGGAGAAAGCGAUGCCUGGGCCUCCGGAUCCUUUACUGAAUACGACAUAGUCGAAAAACAAACGACCGCACGUGUUAUAAGUGAAGCGAGCAAAACUUGUAAGAUACUGAACAGUACGUUUUAAGUCAGAAGAUGGAAUAUAAUAUUGGACACAUUAUGAGACACACAGAAGAGGAUCUACUUAAUAUUAUAUGU
Molecule: non-coding RNA, 211 nt
Organism: Cinara cedri
Lineage: Eukaryota; Metazoa; Arthropoda; Insecta; Hemiptera; Aphididae
Source: the annotation of a GenBank genome assembly